This 80-nucleotide transfer RNA is filed under the name Actinomycetota bacterium. RNAcentral's name for it is "tRNA-Thr". The record is from RNAcentral. Lineage: Bacteria; Bacillati; Actinomycetota.
AGCGCUGUUGCUCAGUCCCUCUCCCGCAGCGCGAAUCCUCCAUGGUAAGGAGGGGGUCGACGGUUCGAGUCCGUCAGAGG